This is a long non-coding RNA of Tyto alba (common barn owl), 352 nucleotides long. RefSeq lists it as uncharacterized. The record is from RefSeq and is a predicted model, not a curated record. The transcript has 3 exons. NCBI's taxonomy places the organism in Eukaryota, Metazoa, Chordata, Aves, Strigiformes, Tytonidae.
ACUUCAUGCAGUUUUCCCAGCGAGUUUACAGAUGUUGGAAUUCAGCAGCCUUGAACAGUCAAGGGAAGGCAAUUUUACUGAGUUUGAGUUGGUAACAUGAGCUGUUCUAUCUGUAUCCCCAGAUUUUAGGAUUCUAACUUAGCAUGUAUUUUGAAGUCUAUAUCCCACAUGCAGCUUUCCAGCAGAAGAAGCUAAUCAGAUAACAUACCUGCUCAGAAUAAUUUUGAAAACAAAGAAGCUGUGGCAUGGUUAUUAAGUGCAAAAUUAAUCCAAAUACUUACAAUGCAUGGCAUACAGAAUAUAUUCUUAAAAGAACUCAUUCCAUCGGACACAUUUUGUGGACAGAGGCGUA